Asterias rubens (European starfish) is the source of this 1219-nucleotide long non-coding RNA. RefSeq lists it as uncharacterized. The transcript is spliced from 4 exons. Lineage: Eukaryota; Metazoa; Echinodermata; Asteroidea; Forcipulatida; Asteriidae. The record is from RefSeq and is a predicted model, not a curated record.
GGCUCGUUGUCUAACAAGGAUAAGCUUUGGGUUAAUAGUGAUUCGUUUUGUGAUGCACACUGUCACCUAGCCCAUCAAUGGAUUGCCCCACACAUGUUCUUUUUGUGUUUCUCGGGGAGGAGGUGAUGGGCUCGUUAUUUUGUCUCAUGGAUUUGACUUCUGAUUUCAGCCUGAAGUAGUCAGUUCAGGUUUCGUAUACGUCGUGUGGAUAUACGGGGUUUAAGUUACGCACAUGACGGCGUUGCUCACAUGUGGCGGAGGGUGUUUUACGGACUUCGAGUGUGUUCGAUCUACAUUCUAAAGGGUCGGUUGUCUUAGCUUGCACUGUAGGAGGGGGAAGGUAUAGAAGCAGCUGAACCUGUGGCUGCAGGAAAUAAACCCGAGGCAUCUUCCAGCUACGUGCUGAACAGCCAGGCUCUGGAUGCAUUGACGAAGGAUCAAGGACCAAAUCAGCUCUAUCCAGGAACUUUGGUUGUAAAUAAUGUCUACCAUACACCAACUCACAUGUGACCAACGUCCCCGAGCCUUGUGUUGUGGUCUGUGUACUGGAGAGAGUUGAACCACUUUAGAGAGUGACAUGCCUGGUGCAACAGUUACUUCCACACUCUUACUGUCAUAUUGAUGUGUUAAUCGGUUUAUUGGACAGUUAUAGCCGACCGCAGGACUGUCCUCAUCGGGCCAAGGGCACUGCACAACAACUACAUGUAUACACACAAGGGAAGCGUGACUGCUGAACUUUAAGUGAAUAGUCUUUAUCGCAGCCCCGUGGUUCGUUCUACUUCAGUCCGUGGCAGUCAACGGGUGUGUAUACCACGCUCUUCCUAACUGCUGCGUCCAAUUGGAUUAUUCCAGUACCGGGGACUAGCUAGCACUCGCAUUUUCUAAAAAAGACUGACUUCAGGAACAACUGUGAUCACUCGGUUUGGAAUUACUGUAGACUAUUUUGUACCAAUCACUGAGGUCAUCAAGUGCACUGGAUCAGCUGAGCUGGCGUCUGCCAAUGGAACACACAUUGUUCAACGAAUGACCAGCAGGUUGUUCAUGUUUAGUUUGCGCCUGGUAUGAUGUUGAAAAUUUGCUCCAAAUCAUCGUGAAAGUUCGUACCUUGAGAAGGUAUAGCGUUAAUGAACAUUGAAAUUGCACUUGUGGAAGGACUGGACAUUUGUAAAGGAUGGCAACGCACGUUCUAACCGUCUGGAUUACCAGAACAACCUAUUCG